AGGAUGAACGCUGGCGGCGUGCUUAACACAUGCAAGUCGAACGGGAUCCAUCGGGCUUUGCUUGGUGGUGAGAGUGGCGAACGGGUGAGUAAUGCGUGACCGACCUGCCCCAUGCUCCGGAAUAGCUCCUGGAAACGGGUGGUAAUGCCGGAUGUUCCACAUGAUCGCAUGUGAUUGUGGGAAAGAUUCUAUCGGCGUGGGAUGGGGUCGCGUCCUAUCAGCUUGUUGGUGAGGUAACGGCUCACCAAGGCUUCGACGGGUAGCCGGCCUGAGAGGGCGACCGGCCACAUUGGGACUGAGAUACGGCCCAGACUCCUACGGGAGGCAGCAGUGGGGAAUAUUGCACAAUGGGCGCAAGCCUGAUGCAGCGACGCCGCGUGAGGGAUGGAGGCCUUCGGGUUGUAAACCUCUUUUGUUUGGGAGCAAGCCUUCGGGUGAGUGUACCUUUCGAAUAAGCGCCGGCUAACUACGUGCCAGCAGCCGCGGUAAUACGUAGGGCGCAAGCGUUAUCCGGAUUUAUUGGGCGUAAAGGGCUCGUAGGCGGCUCGUCGCGUCCGGUGUGAAAGUCCAUCGCUUAACGGUGGAUCUGCGCCGGGUACGGGCGGGCUGGAGUGCGGUAGGGGAGACUGGAAUUCCCGGUGUAACGGUGGAAUGUGUAGAUAUCGGGAAGAACACCGAUGGCGAAGGCAGGUCUCUGGGCCGUCACUGACGCUGAGGAGCGAAAGCGUGGGGAGCGAACAGGAUUAGAUACCCUGGUAGUCCACGCCGUAAACGGUGGACGCUGGAUGUGGGGCACGUUCCACGUGUUCCGUGUCGGAGCUAACGCGUUAAGCGUCCCGCCUGGGGAGUACGGCCGCAAGGCUAAAACUCAAAGAAAUUGACGGGGCCCGCACAAGCGGCGGAGCAUGCGGAUUAAUUCGAUGCAACGCGAAGAACCUUACCUGGGCUUGACAUGUUCCCGACGACGCCAGAGAUGGCGUUUCCCUUCGGGGCGGGUUCACAGGUGGUGCAUGGUCGUCGUCAGCUCGUGUCGUGAGAUGUUGGGUUAAGUCCCGCAACGAGCGCAACCCUCGCCCCGUGUUGCCAGCACGUUAUGGUGGGAACUCACGGGGGACCGCCGGGGUUAACUCGGAGGAAGGUGGGGAUGACGUCAGAUCAUCAUGCCCCUUACGUCCAGGGCUUCACGCAUGCUACAAUGGCCGGUACAGCGGGAUGCGACAUGGCGACAUGGAGCGGAUCCCUGAAAACCGGUCUCAGUUCGGAUCGGAGCCUGCAACCCGGCUCCGUGAAGGCGGAGUCGCUAGUAAUCGCGGAUCAGCAACGCCGCGGUGAAUGCGUUCCCGGGCCUUGUACACACCGCCCGUCAAGUCAUGAAAGUGGGCAGCACCCGAAGCCGGUGGCCUAACCCCUUGUGGGAUGGAGCCGUCUAAGGUGGGGCUCGUGAUUGGGACUAAGUCGUAACAAGGUA
This 1468-nucleotide ribosomal RNA is filed under the name metagenome. RNAcentral's name for it is "bacterial SSU rRNA". It matches the Rfam family "Bacterial small subunit ribosomal RNA". The record is from RNAcentral.